This 506-nucleotide ribosomal RNA is filed under the name uncultured bacterium. Its description in RNAcentral is "partial 16S ribosomal RNA". It matches the Rfam family "Bacterial small subunit ribosomal RNA", at positions 28 to 523 of the family's 1533-position model. The record is from RNAcentral.
GAUGAACGCUAGCUACAGGCUUAACACAUGCAAGUCGAGGGGUAACGAGAGGAAAGCUUGCUUUCCUUGUUGACGACCGGCGCACGGGUGAGUAACGCGUAUCCAACCUGCCCCCAACUAGGGAAUAACCUUGCGAAAGUAAGACUAAUACCCUAUAAUUUCCUCAGAUGUCAUCUGACGAGGAAUAAAGAUUUAUCGGUUGUGGAUGGGGAUGCGUCUGAUUAGCUUGUUGGCGGGGUAACGGCCCACCAAGGCAACGAUCAGUAGGGGUUCUGAGAAGAAGGUCCCCCACAUUGGAACUGAGACACGGUCCAAACUCCUACGGGAGGCAGCAGUGAGGAAUAUUGGUCAAUGGGCGGAAGCCUGAACCAGCCAAGUAGCGUGCAGGAUGACGGCCCUAUGGGUUGUAAACUGCUUUUAUACAGGAAUAAAGUUAGCCACGUGUGGUUAUUUGUAGGUACUGUAUGAAUAUGGACCGGCUAAUUCCGUGCCAGCCGCCGCAGUAA